UGCUCUGAGGUGGGGUGGAGAGGACACAGUCAUCAGGUCUAAUACUGAGGGAGAGGACACAGUCAUCACUACUGAGGGAGAGGACACAGUCAUCAGGUGUAAUACUGAGGGAGAGGACACAGUCAUCAGGUCUAAUACUGAGGGAGAGGACACAGUCAUCAGGUCUAAUACUGAGGGAGAGGACAUAGUCAUCAGGUCUAAUACUGAGGGAGAGGACACAGUCAUCACUACUGAGGGAGAGGACACAGUCAUCAGGUGUAAUACUGAGGGAGAGGACACAGUCAUCAGGUCUAAUACUGAGGGAGAGGACAUAGUCAUCAGGUGUAAUACUGAGGGAGAGGACACAGUCAUCAGGUCUAAUACUGAGGGAGAGGACACAGUCAUCACUACUGAGGGAGAGGACACAGUCAUCAGGUCUAAUACUGAGGGAGAGGACACAGUCAUCACUACUGAGGGAGAGGACACAGUCAUCACUACUGAGGGAGAGGACACAGUCAUCACUACUGAGGGAGAGGACACAGUCAUCAGGUCUAAUACUGAGGGAGAGGACACAGUCAUCACUACUGAGGGAGAGG
Long non-coding RNA from Oncorhynchus keta (chum salmon), 575 nucleotides. RefSeq lists it as uncharacterized. The transcript is spliced from 4 exons. The record is from RefSeq and is a predicted model, not a curated record. NCBI's taxonomy places the organism in Eukaryota, Metazoa, Chordata, Actinopteri, Salmoniformes, Salmonidae.